CCUACGGGUGGCUGCAGUGGGGAAUAUUGCGCAAUGGGCGAAAGCCUGACGCAGCUACGCCGCGUGGGUGAUGAAGGCCUUCGGGUUGUAAAGCCCUGUCGGGAGGGACGAAGUUCUGACGGUACCUCCCAAGAAAGCACCGGCUAACUCCGUGCCAGCAGCCGCGGUAAUACGGAGGGUGCAAGCGUUGCUCGGAAUCAUUGGGCGUAAAGCGUACGCAGGCUGUUCGUUAAGUCGGGUGUGAAAGCCCAGGGCUCAACCCUGGAAUGGCGCCC
RNAcentral lists this ribosomal RNA (275 nucleotides) under uncultured bacterium. RNAcentral describes it as "partial 16S ribosomal RNA". It matches the Rfam family "Bacterial small subunit ribosomal RNA", at positions 338 to 628 of the family's 1533-position model. The record is from RNAcentral.